UACGUAGGGUGCAAGCGUUACUCGGAAUUACUGGGCGUAAAGCGUGCGUAGGCGGUUGUGCAAGACAGAUGUGAAAUCCCCGGGCUCAACCUGGGAAUUGCAUUUGUGACUGCACGGCUAGAGUGUGUCAGAGGGGGGUAGAAUUCCACGUGUAGCAGUGAAAUGCGUAGAGAUGUGGAGGAAUACCGAUGGCGAAGGCAGCCCCCUGGGAUAACACUGACGCUCAUGCACGAAAGCGUGGGGAGCAAACAGG
This 253-nucleotide ribosomal RNA is filed under the name uncultured bacterium. RNAcentral's name for it is "partial 16S ribosomal RNA". It matches the Rfam family "Bacterial small subunit ribosomal RNA", at positions 524 to 776 of the family's 1533-position model. The record is from RNAcentral.